RNAcentral lists this unclassified non-coding RNA (273 nucleotides) under uncultured fungus. Its description in RNAcentral is "sequence contains ITS1, 5.8S rRNA gene". The stretch from base 225 to 273 matches the Rfam family "5.8S ribosomal RNA", at positions 1 to 49 of the family's 154-position model. The record is from RNAcentral. Lineage: Eukaryota; Fungi.
UUUCCGUAGGUGAACCUGCGGAAGGAUCAUUAUCGAGUUUUGAAUGGGUUGUCUGCUGGCUCGCAAGGGCAUGUGCACGCCUGUCUCAUCCACUCUCAACUUCUGUGCACUUUUCAUAGGCCGGCUUGUGGGUGCGUUCGCGCACUUGUAGGUGUCGGGCUUAUGCUUUACUACAAACGAUUCAGUUUUAGAAUGUCAUACUUUGCUAUAACGCAAUUAUAUACAACUUUCAGCAACGGAUCUCUUGGCUCUCGCAUCGAUGAAGAACGCAGC